Molecule: ribosomal RNA, 420 nt
Filed under: bacterium
Lineage: Bacteria
Description: partial 16S ribosomal RNA
Rfam family: Bacterial small subunit ribosomal RNA
Source: RNAcentral
UGGGGGAUAUUGCACAAUGGGCGAAAGCCUGAUGCAGCGACGCCGCGUGGGGGAUGAAGGCUUUCGGGUUGUAAACCUCUUUCGCUAUCGAACAAGGCUCGCCUAGGGAGGUUCGAGGGUAGGUGUAGAAGAAGUGCCGGCUAACUACGUUCCAGCAGCCGCGGUAAUACGUAUGGUGCGAGCGUUGCCCGGGAUAUUUGGGCGUAAAGGGCUUGUAGGGUGCUUGUUGCGCCUGCUUGGAACACGGGGGGCUUAACCUGGCGCGUGCUGUGGGUACGGGCAGGCUUGAGUGUGGGAGGGGUGACUGGAAUUCCAGGUGUAGCGGUGGAAUGCGCAGAUAUCUGGAGGAACACCGAUGGCGAAGGCAGGUCACUGGGCCAUUACUGACGCUGAGGAGCGAAAGCGUGGGUAGCGAACAGG